UGAACUGAUGCGUCUUUGGAAGUCAAGAGGGCAAAAGCAAACUGAAAAAAUUCCUAACUUUACCAGAGAAGACCUUCAUUCCUUACUGGGUACAGCAAAACAAACACAUAAAACCAAGGACGACUCAAGGCAAACACAGGAACAGCAUUUCAGAAGACAGAGAAGCUCUGGGAGUGCAGUGGCUAACAGGAGUUGGAUUAUCAUUUUCCUGCAAACCAGACUAUCACUUCUUCAAGGGAAAACACUCUGGAUGGAGUCCCCAGAGUGUGUCCAAAGGGGCACUUCACUGGAGUCACGGCAGCACACGCGUCAGAUGUGGCAAUAAUGGCCAUGGAAGGUGCCCUGUCCUGGGUUUCAGCUGGGUGAAUCAUAUGAUCCCAAUCCUCCGGCAUUCUUAAUUUCAUUAACGACACAAUUAUGAAUAAAUGAAGGUGAGUGUAAAACCAUGCCAUGACCUAAAGUGGAUGUGUAUUGUGUAUUUCAAAUAGAGGCAGGAGGAGGGGAGCUAAAAAGGACAUGGAUCAUGGAAAUUGUUUAUAGUAUUAAAACUUUGGUCUGAAACAUAAGGAGACAGUAACUUGCCUUCUAAAAUAAGAACUUCCUUUAAAAGCAAGAAGGAUGAUGUGCUACUGAAAUGUUAUUUUGUAUAAUUAAUUCCUAAGAAUAGCAGCAACCACAAGCAUCUCUAUGAAGGGGCCUUUAAUUAUUUCUAAACCAAAUUGUGCAGACAUUGUAUUUCUUUUCUCAAAACCACCUUACAAAACCUUUUGCUUAACUAAGAAAAUCACCCUACUCGAGGUGUAUAUUUUCAUUGCUAAUUUCUUUUUUGAAGUCCUCUCACAUUGUCCAAGACUUAUUGCCCUCUGCCAUGCCAGGAAUACCAGGAGAUUUCACAGGGACUUCCAUAGAGCAGCACUCAGCAGGUCAGAGUUGAGCAGUGUCGUGUGGAAUGACGUAUUUACAGCAAGGAUGCUAAGGAUGUGAACCACGCAAUGCCCCAGCAAUGAGCCUCGCUGAUGCUUCAAGCACUGAUUAUUCUCUGCUUCUCAGAACUAGGGUUCUUCCAGGAAAAGAAAAAAAAAAAAGAAAGGAAGAAAAAGCAACAAGCCAAGAGCUGUCUGAUAAUGAAAAAAGGAGAGAAUUCACUACUAGGAAAGCACGAGAUGUCAGUUGAAAAUUUUGGUAUUGAUAAGGUUCAAUAGGAAGAGAAAACACACAUUCAGUGGACUCAAGAAUGAAAAACUAGUAUUGGUUUCCCUGAGAAAAUAAUUUAAAAAGGCAGGAGGGAAGAAAUUAUUAUGGUGGAGCUCUAUGAUGAAAAAGGCAGCAGUGAUAAAUACCACCUCCACUCAGGGCAGCCUGGCCCAGCCAGGUGAGCACACAACAACACACACCAUUACCUGCACUUUUCAAAAGCAAAGAUAGGGAAUGAGGCAAGAUCUCAACAGCCAUGGCAAGGUCUUGGAUUCAGCUUCAGCCUUGAACAUCCUCCACUCAACAUCACCUCCCUUUGCAGUACAUUUCCAUAGCUACUUCUAGGGUGAGGUGACAUGUCUGAUGAAUCUAAUGAGAUUUUGUUCCUUUAAGGAUUCCUGUUACAAGAUUUCUUUGGAAUUGUUGGGUAUUUGUUUUGGAAUUGUUGGGUAAUUGUUUUGCAAAAGGUGAAUGUCUGAAGUGGAAAGUAAUAUUAAGAAUCCUUGGUCUGUCUCCUCACUUCCUUUUCCUCCUGGCCCCUGAGUUUAACCCGGUCCCUGCAUCCAUCAGUCAGAGCACAGGUGCAAAGCAGAUGAAGAAUGCCAGUAAGGCAUUUCACCUGCUCCUCAUGCCAAGUGCCUGCAGGCAGGCCCUGCACACCGAGCACAGUAACCAACUCCCUCCAGCUGGGAAUCACACUGGGAUGAUCUGAUGCAGCAAGUCCCUGUACCUGCACUGAAGGAAAUGCCUCACAGGAGCAUCAAAAACUCACCACAAAACCUCCAUGCUGAAUACUUCCAAAAUAUUCUGAGCUCUGCAAAAGGCAGUUUGUUUGUGGGACAAAAAGCAGCCUGUGUUGGUAACAGCAACCUGCUACACGGUCCCUGAAAGCCUAUGAUCAUUCAGUCCAUGGGCUGGAGCCCUUCCCUCCCUUCAGAAGAUCGGGUACUGGAGGGACAACCUCCUGCUGCUGCUGGUAUCCAU
This is a long non-coding RNA of Geospiza fortis (medium ground-finch), 2178 nucleotides long. Lineage: Eukaryota; Metazoa; Chordata; Aves; Passeriformes; Thraupidae. The record is from Ensembl.